GGGCGAGCUGGGCACUGGUUGAGCCCAAGGGCCUGUAAAGCCCCCGCUUCGGCUGUGGCGGUUCGAAUCCGCCCUCGCCCA
This 81-nucleotide transfer RNA is filed under the name Kitasatospora sp. Root187. It matches the Rfam family "tRNA". Rfam says of the family: Transfer RNA (tRNA) molecules are approximately 80 nucleotides in length. Their secondary structure includes four short double-helical elements and three loops (D, anti-codon, and T loops). The record is from Rfam by way of RNAcentral. Lineage: Bacteria; Bacillati; Actinomycetota; Actinomycetes; Kitasatosporales; Streptomycetaceae.